AGGAUUAGAUACCCGGGUAGUCCACGCCCUAAACGUUGCGAACUAGGUGUUGGUCGGAUUGACCCGAUCAGUGCCGCAGCUAACGCAUUAAGUUCGCCGCCUGGGGACUACGGCCGCAAGGUUAAAACUCAAAGGAAUAGGCGGGGGCCCGCACAAGCGGUGGGGCAUGUGGUUCAAUUCGAUGCAAAGCGAAGAACCUUACCAGGGUUUGACAUGCUGGCGUAAGCCUAUGUGAAAGCAUGGGGUGGUGUGGAGCUUGCUUCACACAGCCAGCACAGGUGCUGCAUGGCUGUCGUCAGCUCGUGCCGCGAGGUGUCCGGUUAAGUCCGGUAACGAGCGCAACCCUUGUUCAUAGUUGCCAGCAUUUAAGGUGGGCACUCUAUGGAGACCGCCGGCGACAAGCCGGAGGAAGGCGGGGACGACGUCAAGUCAUCAUGGCCUUUAUGUCCUGGGCUACACACAUGCUACAAUGGCGGAUACAAUGGGUUGCUAACCCGUAAGGGGGAGCUAAUCUCAUCAAAGUCCGUUUCAGUUCGGAUUGCAGGCUGCAACCCGCCUGCAUGAAGCUGGAAUCGCUAGUAAUCGUGGAUCAGCCACGCCACGGUGAAUACGUUCCCGGGCCUUGCACACACCGCCCGUCACACCACGAAAGCUGGUUCUGCCCGAAGUGGCUGGGCCAACCCGCAAGGGGGGCAGGCUCCGAAGGCAGGGCUGGUGAUUGGGGUGAAGUCGUAACAAG
Molecule: ribosomal RNA, 739 nt
Filed under: uncultured bacterium
Lineage: Bacteria
Description: bacterial SSU rRNA
Rfam family: Bacterial small subunit ribosomal RNA
Source: RNAcentral